Molecule: ribosomal RNA, 1163 nt
Filed under: Symplocastrum flechtnerae WJT32-NPBGF
Lineage: Bacteria; Bacillati; Cyanobacteriota; Cyanophyceae; Oscillatoriales; Microcoleaceae
Description: bacterial SSU rRNA
Rfam family: Bacterial small subunit ribosomal RNA
Source: RNAcentral
GGGGAAUUUUCCGCAAUGGGCGAAAGCCUGACGGAGCAAUACCGCGUGAGGGAAGAAGGCUCUUGGGUCGUAAACCUCUUUUAUCAGGGAAGAAAAAAAUGACGGUACCUGAAGAAUCAGCCUCGGCUAACUCCGUGCCAGCAGCCGCGGUAAUACGGAGGAGGCAAGCGCUAUCCGGAAUUAUUGGGCGUAAAGCGUCCGCAGGUGGCUUAUCAAGUCUGCUGUCAAAGAGUGGGGCUUAACCCCAUUAAGGCAGUGGAAACUGAGAAGCUAGAGUGCCGUAGGGGUAGAGGGAAUUCCCGGUGUAGCGGUGAAAUGCGUAGAGAUCGGGAAGAACAUCGGUGGCGAAAGCGCUCUACUGGACGGCAACUGACACUCAGGGACGAAAGCUAGGGGAGCGAAUGGGAUUAGAUACCCCAGUAGUCCUAGCCGUAAACGAUGGAUACUAGGUGUGGCUUGUAUCGACCCGAGCCGUGCCGUAGCUAACGCGUUAAGUAUCCCGCCUGGGGAGUACGCACGCAAGUGUGAAACUCAAAGGAAUUGACGGGGGCCCGCACAAGCGGUGGAGUAUGUGGUUUAAUUCGAUGCAACGCGAAGAACCUUACCAGGGCUUGACAUGUCCGGAACCUCAGGGAAACUUGGGGGUGCCUUCGGGAGCCGGAACACAGGUGGUGCAUGGCUGUCGUCAGCUCGUGUCGUGAGAUGUUGGGUUAAGUCCCGCAACGAGCGCAACCCUCGUCCUUAGUUGCCAGCAUUAAGUUGGGCACUCUAGGGAGACUGCCGGUGACAAACCGGAGGAAGGUGGGGAUGACGUCAAGUCAGCAUGCCCCUUACGCCCUGGGCUACACACGUACUACAAUGCUACGGACAAAGGGCAGCAAGACAGCGAUGUCAAGCUAAUCCCAGAAACCGUGGCUCAGUUCAGAUUGCAGGCUGCAACUCGCCUGCAUGAAGGAGGAAUCGCUAGUAAUUGCAGGUCAGCAUACUGCAGUGAAUCCGUUCCCGGGCCUUGUACACACCGCCCGUCACACCAUGGAAGUUGGCCACGCCCGAAGUCGUUACCCUAACCUGUUAAAGGAGGGGGAUGCCGAAGGCAGGGCUGAUGACUGGGGUGAAGUCGUAACAAGGUAGCCGUACCGGAAGGUGUGGCUGGAUCACCUCCU